Molecule: ribosomal RNA, 532 nt
Filed under: uncultured Bacteroidales bacterium
Lineage: Bacteria; Pseudomonadati; Bacteroidota; Bacteroidia; Bacteroidales
Description: bacterial SSU rRNA
Rfam family: Bacterial small subunit ribosomal RNA
Source: RNAcentral
UAGAGUUUGAUCCUGGCUCAGGAUGAACGCUAGCUAUAGGCUUAACACAUGCAAGUCGAGGGGCAGCGAAUAGAUAGCUUGCUAUUUAUGUCGGCGACCGGCGCACGGGUGAGUAACGCGUAUCCAACCUGCCCAUAACUACGGGAUAACCCGUUGAAAGACGGCCUAAUACCGUAUGACAUCGUUUGCUGACAUCAAAUAACGAUUAAAGGUUUAGCGGUUAUGGAUGGGGAUGCGUCUGAUUAGCUUGUUGGCGGGGUAACGGCCCACCAAGGCGACGAUCAGUAGGGGUUCUGAGAGGAAGGUCCCCCACAUUGGAACUGAGACACGGUCCAAACUCCUACGGGAGGCAGCAGUGAGGAAUAUUGGUCAAUGGGCGAGAGCCUGAACCAGCCAAGUAGCGUGCAGGAAGACGGCCCUAUGGGUUGUAAACUGCUUUUAUGUGGGGAUAAAGUGCGUGACGUGUCAUGCAUUGCAGGUACCACAUGAAUAAGGACCGGCUAAUUCCGUGCCAGCCGCCGCGGUAAAAGGG